GGUGAGGCCAGUGGGGCAGAAGAAACCUUCACAACAAGGUUGACAAUCAGAAGUUCUAAAAGGGAUUUCAUCUUUGUUUUUUAGAUCAACUUCAGUGUCUUUUUCAACAGAACAAGCCCAACCAGAAGCCAAGAUCAUCCAUGGCAUCCUCAUGGAAAAGUGAGGAUAUAGAAUUGAAUCGACUAUAGAUUAAUUUGGUGGCUUCGUCUAAUUUUGCGGGAUUUCUCUUUAUGGUUUCGGGAUCAGGGUACUGUUGGGCGGUGGCCAGGUGAGUUAAAGGCGCCGGUGAUUUUAUCCCAAAUAUUAUCGCAAUGAAGAUGGUGAAAAUCAGAAUGUUGGUCAUCCUCUUCCUUUGAUCCUUUGAAUCACCACCUGGAAAUGCGAUUUCUUGUCAGGAUCUGAUUGUUGUUCAUUGGAGCGUGAAUCGGACCUUGCGCAUGAUUCAAAUGAAAAAAAUCUGUUAGGAUUUUGAUUUUCCAUUUUUGUUUCUUGUGUUUGGUGGAUUUCUUCGGAGAAAGAAAUGGAGGGGAGAGGAUGUAGGAAGAGGAAGGAGGAAGGGAAAGUGAUACUGGUAGCUUGUAAGCCUGCAACGACAGCUUUUACUGAGUCACGGUCUUCGUGGCUUCUUUUGGCUCGUCAAAUUCAUAUGUUAUGAAACGGUUAAUAUGUAAGGAAUUUAUAUGAAUAUACACUUCAAUAAAAUAGUCAUGUCAAAUAAGAUAAUCUUUUAAAUUUCA
Lactuca sativa (garden lettuce) is the source of this 737-nucleotide non-coding RNA. Lineage: Eukaryota; Viridiplantae; Streptophyta; Magnoliopsida; Asterales; Asteraceae. The record is from RefSeq and is a predicted model, not a curated record.